AAGGGACAAAUGGACAUAAAAUACAUGCUUGCAUGUAUUUUUAUGUCUAUGGGUCCCGCAAAACAUGAGCAAGUAGCCAUUUUUCGAAGAAAAAUGAGCGGAUUGCGAAUGUUUACGUCGAUUUUGAGAGUGCGAAGCACGAAAAAAUCG
Molecule: small RNA, 150 nt
Filed under: human gut metagenome
Description: Clostridiales-1 RNA
Rfam family: Clostridiales-1 RNA
Source: RNAcentral